Molecule: non-coding RNA, 119 nt
Organism: Picea glauca (white spruce)
Lineage: Eukaryota; Viridiplantae; Streptophyta; Pinopsida; Pinales; Pinaceae
Source: Rfam
AGGUGAGAUCAUACCAACAUUAAUGCACCGAAUCCCAUCAAAACUCCACAGUUAGGCGCGCUUGGGAUAGAAUAGUACUGGGAUGGGUGACCUCCCGGGAAGUCCUAGUGUUGCACCCU